AUACGGAGGGUGCAAGCGUUAUUCGGAAUCACUGGGCGUAAAGGGCGCGUAGGCGGGUUGGCAAGUCAGAUGUGAAAUCCUACAGCUUAACUGUAGAACUGCAUUUGAAACUGCUAACCUAGAGUAUGGGAGGGGGAGAUGGAAUUAGUGGUGUAGGGGUAAAAUCCGUAGAUAUCACUAGGAAUACCGAAAGCGAAGGCGAUCUCCUGGAACAAUACUGACGCUAAGGCGUGAAAGCGUGGGGAGCAAACGGGAUUAGAUACCCUAGUAGUCC
Molecule: ribosomal RNA, 274 nt
Filed under: uncultured bacterium
Lineage: Bacteria
Description: partial 16S ribosomal RNA
Rfam family: Bacterial small subunit ribosomal RNA
Source: RNAcentral